AAUGAGAAAACUUUGGAGAAGAUCUGUACCAGUAAAAUCUUAUGGGUCACAAGACCAUGUUGCACUCGUUUCCACUCGGUAAGGAUUCCCUUGUGCCAUCAAUACCAACAUCCUUUUUCAUUGUAGAUGUAUUUAUCUUGGAUGAUUUUCUUUAUGAUAAAUUACUAGUGAUAUGGAUACAUUUAAAGUUAUUACUCCAACUAAAUGGCUUCACACACAUCUCACAAGGAGCUUCACUAGAAUAACAAAUUUGAU
RNAcentral lists this long non-coding RNA (255 nucleotides) under Carica papaya (papaya). RNAcentral describes it as "long non-coding RNA (CPAP_LNC015476)". Lineage: Eukaryota; Viridiplantae; Streptophyta; Magnoliopsida; Brassicales; Caricaceae. The record is from RNAcentral.